CUUUCUGUCCCAAACUACAUUUCGCUUCUCCCCAGGUUGACUUUAAUCGUGGCCCAGUAGGCCGACUGUAUUACAAAGCGAAAGGAGAAAUGGCGCGGUUUCUUGGCCCACCAAUCUACACCGAAUUUUCCUUUAAUCGGUUACGCUCGGUCCACGCGACGUUCGUUCACCUUCCGUUUCGUCUAUUUACGCUCUUUUUGGCCGGAAUGAAACCUAUUUCCAUUCUCUUUCACCCUUCAUCGACCAUAAAAUAUUACCCGGACUUCAACGUUGUUCCGUUUAUCUCGCUUAAAAAAAAACAAAAAAACGCUUG
RNAcentral lists this long non-coding RNA (313 nucleotides) under Androctonus crassicauda. Lineage: Eukaryota; Metazoa; Arthropoda; Arachnida; Scorpiones; Buthidae. The record is from RNAcentral.